CACGAUCAACCAGUCGGACCGGA
This 23-nucleotide non-coding RNA is filed under the name Arabidopsis thaliana (thale cress). The record is from RNAcentral. Lineage: Eukaryota; Viridiplantae; Streptophyta; Magnoliopsida; Brassicales; Brassicaceae.